Molecule: ribosomal RNA, 468 nt
Filed under: uncultured bacterium
Lineage: Bacteria
Description: partial 16S ribosomal RNA
Rfam family: Bacterial small subunit ribosomal RNA
Source: RNAcentral
GACGAACGCUGGCGGCGUGCUUAACACAUGCAAGUCGAACGGAAAGGCCCUGCUUUUGUGGGGUGCUCGAGUGGCGAACGGGUGAGUAACACGUGAGUAACCUGCCCUUGACUUUGGGAUAACUUCAGGAAACUGGGGCUAAUACCGGAUAGGAGCUCCUGCUGCAUGGUGGGGGUUGGAAAGUUUCGGCGGUUGGGGAUGGACUCGCGGCUUAUCAGCUUGUUGGUGGGGUAGUGGCUUACCAAGGCUUUGACGGGUAGCCGGCCUGAGAGGGUGACCGGCCACAUUGGGACUGAGAUACCGCCCCGGCUCCUACGGGAGGCAGCAGUGGGGAAUUUUGCACCAUGGGCGGAAGCCUGAUGCAGCAACGCCGCGUGCGGGAUGACGGCCUUCCGGUUGUAAACCGCUUUCGCCUGUGACGAAGCGUGAGUGACGGUAAUGGGUAAAGAAGCACCGGCUAACUACGUG